This 429-nucleotide ribosomal RNA is filed under the name Fusobacteriota bacterium. RNAcentral describes it as "Fusobacteria bacterium partial 16S ribosomal RNA". It matches the Rfam family "Bacterial small subunit ribosomal RNA", at positions 355 to 776 of the family's 1533-position model. Lineage: Bacteria; Fusobacteriati; Fusobacteriota. The record is from RNAcentral.
UGGGGAAUAUUGCGCAAUGGGCGAAAGCCUGACGCAGCGACGCCGCGUGAGGGAUGAAGGUUUUCGGAUCGUAAACCUCUGUCAGAAGGGAAGAAACCGCACUGUGCUAAUCAGCAGUGCCUUGACGGUACCUUCAAAGGAAGCACCGGCUAACUCCGUGCCAGCAGCCGCGGUAAUACGGAGGGUGCAAGCGUUAAUCGGAAUUACUGGGCGUAAAGCGCACGUAGGCUGCUUUGUAAGUCAGGGGUGAAAUCCCACGGCUCAACCGUGGAACUGCCUUUGAUACUGCUUAGCUUGAAUCCGGGAGAGGGUGGCGGAAUUCCAGGUGUAGGAGCGAAAUCCGUAGAUAUCUGGAGGAACAUCAGUGGCGAAGGCGGCCACCUGGACCGGUAUUGACGCUGAGGUGCGAAAGCGUGGGGAGCAAACAGG